Serratia sp. M24T3 is the source of this 52-nucleotide non-coding RNA. The record is from Rfam. Lineage: Bacteria; Pseudomonadati; Pseudomonadota; Gammaproteobacteria; Enterobacterales; Yersiniaceae.
GCUUCGGGACGACCCGCAGAAUGUCACGCAAAAACUCAGCAGGACGACCUGC